Molecule: ribosomal RNA, 864 nt
Filed under: uncultured archaeon
Lineage: Archaea
Description: bacterial SSU rRNA
Rfam family: Archaeal small subunit ribosomal RNA
Source: RNAcentral
UGAUACUAAGCCAUGCGAGUCAUUGUAGCAAUACAAGGCAUACGGCUCAGUAACGCGUAGUCAACCUAACCUAUGGACGGGAAUAACCUCGGGAAACUGAGAAUAAUGCCCGAUAGAACAUUAUGCCUGGAAUGGUUUAUGUUCCAAAUGAUUUAUCGCCGUAGGAUGGGACUGCGGCCUAUCAGUUUGUUGGUGAGGUAAUGGCCCACCAAGACUAUUACAGGUACGGGCUCUGAGAGGAGUAGCCCGGAGAUGGGUACUGAGACACGGACCCAGGCCCUAUGGGGCGCAGCAGGCGAGAAAACUUUGCAAUGUGCGAAAGCACGACAAGGUUAAUCCGAGUGGUUUCUGCUAAAGGAACCUUUUGUCAGUCCUAGAAACACUGAUGAAUAAGGGGUGGGCAAGUUCUGGUGUCAGCCGCCGCGGUAAAACCAGCACCUCAAGUGGUCAGGAUGAUUAUUGGGCCUAAAGCAUCCGUAGCCGGCUCUGUAAGUUUUCGGUUAAAUCUGUACGCUCAACGUACAGGCUGCCGGGAAUACUGCAAAGCUAGGGAGUGGGAGAGGUAGACGGUACUCGGUAGGAAGGGGUAAAAUCCUUUGAUCUAUUGAUGACCACCUGUGGCGAAGGCGGUCUACCAGAACACGUCCGACGGUGAGGGAUGAAAGCUGGGGGAGCAAACCGGAUUAGAUACCCGGGUAGUCCCAGCUGUAAACCAUGCAAACUCAGUGAUGCAUUGGCUUGUGGCCAGUGCAGUGCUGCAGGGAAGCCGUUAAGUUUGCCGCCUGGGAAGUACGUACGCAAGUAUGAAACUUAAAGGAAUUGGCGGGGGAGCACCACAAGGGGUGAAGCCUGCGGUUCAAUUGG